This 500-nucleotide ribosomal RNA is filed under the name uncultured bacterium. RNAcentral describes it as "partial 16S ribosomal RNA". It matches the Rfam family "Bacterial small subunit ribosomal RNA", at positions 30 to 523 of the family's 1533-position model. The record is from RNAcentral.
AUUGAACGCUGGCGGAAUGCUUUACACAUGCGAGUCGAACGGCAGCACGGGGGCAACCCUGGUGGCGAGUGGCGAACGGGUGAGUAAUACAUCGGAACGUGCCCAGUCGUGGGGGAUAACGUAGCGAAAGUUACGCUAAUACCGCAUACGAUCUAUGGAUGAAAGCGGGGGACCGUAAGGCCUCGCGCGAUUGGAGCGGCCGAUGUCAGAUUAGGUAGUAGGUGGGGUAAAGGCUCACCAAGCCGACGAUCUGUAGCUGGUCUGAGAGGACGACCAGCCACACUGGGACUGAGACACGGCCCAGACUCCUACGGGAGGCAGCAGUGGGGAAUUUUGGACAAUGGGCGCAAGCCUGAUCCAGCCAUUCCGCGUGCAGGAUGAAGGCCCUCGGGUUGUAAACUGCUUUUGUACGGAACGAAACGGUCUGCUCUAAUACAGCGGGCUAAUGACGGUACCGUAAGAAUAAGCACCGGCUAACUACGUGCCAGCAGCCGCGGUAA